CUGCAGCCCGAGUGGUGAUCGAUUUUAUUGAGCCUAAAGCGUCCGUAGCCGGACUAGUAAACCCUUGGGUAAAUUGGGCAGCUUAACUGUCCGAAUUCCGAGGGGGCUGCUAGUCUUGGGACCGGGAGAGGUCAGAGGUACUCAAGGGGUAGGGGCUAAAUCCUGUAAUCCUUUGGGGACCACCAGUGGCGAAGGCGUCUGACUAGAACGGAUCCGACGGUAAGGGACGAAACCCUGGGGCGCGAACCGGAUUAGAUACCCGCGUAGUCC
Molecule: ribosomal RNA, 270 nt
Filed under: uncultured archaeon
Lineage: Archaea
Description: partial 16S ribosomal RNA
Rfam family: Archaeal small subunit ribosomal RNA
Source: RNAcentral